Molecule: ribosomal RNA, 433 nt
Filed under: uncultured bacterium
Lineage: Bacteria
Description: partial 16S ribosomal RNA
Rfam family: Bacterial small subunit ribosomal RNA
Source: RNAcentral
AACGAACGCUGGCGGCAUGCCUAACACAUGCAAGUCGAGCGAAAACAUCGGGACUUGUGGCCCCCGAGUGCAUCACGCGAGGGAACAUUACCAUGGGUUCGGCCUAACUCCCAGACAGGGGUGCUAUUACCGGAUCAUGUCUAAGGACCAAAAAUUUAUCGACUUUGAAUGGGCCAGCGUUGGAUUAGGUAGUUGGUAGGGUAAAAGCUUACCAAGGGGACGAUCCAUAGCUUGUUUGAGAGGAUGAUCAGCCACACUGGGACUGAGACACGGCCCAGACUCCUACGGGAGGCAGCAGUGGGUAAUAGUGGACAGUGGGCGGAAGCCUGAUCGAGCAAUGCCGCGUGAGUGAUGAAAGCAUUAGGGUUGUAAAGUUUUUGUACCCGUGAUGAUAAUGACAGUACCGGGAGAGUAAGCUCCGGCUAACUCCGUG